CAGCAGCCGCGGGAAUACGGAGGGAGCUAGCGUUGUUCGGAAUUACUGGGCGUAAAGCGCGCGUAGGCGGUUACUCAAGUCAGAGGUGAAAGCCCGGGGCUCAACCCCGGAACUGCCUUUGAAACUAGGUGACUAGAAUCUUGGAGAGGUCAGUGGAAUUCCGAGUGUAGAGGUGAAAUUCGUAGAUAUUCGGAAGAACACCAGUGGCGAAGGCGACUGACUGGACAAGUAUUGACGCUGAGGUGCGAAAGCGUGGGGAGCAAACAGGAUUAGAUACCCGAGUAGUCCCUGUCUCUUAUAA
Molecule: ribosomal RNA, 301 nt
Filed under: uncultured bacterium
Lineage: Bacteria
Description: partial 16S ribosomal RNA
Rfam family: Bacterial small subunit ribosomal RNA
Source: RNAcentral